RNAcentral lists this ribosomal RNA (545 nucleotides) under Staphylococcus aureus. RNAcentral describes it as "partial 23S ribosomal RNA". It matches the Rfam family "Bacterial large subunit ribosomal RNA", at positions 159 to 701 of the family's 2925-position model. Lineage: Bacteria; Bacillati; Bacillota; Bacilli; Caryophanales; Staphylococcaceae. The record is from RNAcentral.
UGAAUACAUAGCAUAUCAGAAGGCACACCCGGAGAACUGAAACAUCUUAGUACCCGGAGGAAGAGAAAGAAAAUUCGAUUCCCUUAGUAGCGGCGAGCGAAACGGGAAGAGCCCAAACCAACAAGCUUGCUUGUUGGGGUUGUAGGACACUCUAUACGGAGUUACAAAGGACGACAUUAGACGAAUCAUCUGGAAAGAUGAAUCAAAGAAGGUAAUAAUCCUGUAGUCGAAAAUGUUGUCUCUCUUGAGUGGAUCCUGAGUACGACGGAGCACGUGAAAUUCCGUCGGAAUCUGGGAGGACCAUCUCCUAAGGCUAAAUACUCUCUAGUGACCGAUAGUGAACCAGUACCGUGAGGGAAAGGUGAAAAGCACCCCGGAAGGGGAGUGAAAUAGAACCUGAAACCGUGUGCUUACAAGUAGUCAGAGCCCGUUAAUGGGUGAUGGCGUGCCUUUUGUAGAAUGAACCGGCGAGUUACGAUUUGAUGCAAGGUUAAGCAGUAAAUGUGGAGCCGUAGCGAAAGCGAGUCUGAAUAGGGCGUUUAGUA